RNAcentral lists this ribosomal RNA (599 nucleotides) under Bimeria vestita. RNAcentral's name for it is "partial large subunit ribosomal RNA". It matches the Rfam family "Bacterial large subunit ribosomal RNA", at positions 1833 to 2597 of the family's 2925-position model. The record is from RNAcentral. Lineage: Eukaryota; Metazoa; Cnidaria; Hydrozoa; Anthoathecata; Bougainvilliidae.
GCCCUUGAAGUUAUCAAAGGUGUAACCUGCCCAAUGAUUUAUAAAUUAAUAAAAAUAAAAUUUUUUAAAAAAAAUUUAAAGGACGCAGUAUCCUGACUGUGGUAAUGUAGCAUAAUCACUCGCCACUUAAUUGGUGGAUAGUAUGAAUGGUUGAACGAAUAUUUCACUGUCUCCUUUAGAAAGCUCAUUAAAUUAAAAUAAUAGUAAAGAUGCUAUUUUAAACUGUAAGACGAAAAGACCCUAUAGAGCUUAACUAUAUUCUAUAUUUAAAAACAUAAAUCAAAAAUUUUGAAUACAUAUAGGAUGGUAGUUUAGUUGGGGCGACUAUCUUCUAAAAUAAACGAAGACAAGCAAAGUUAAUAAUAAAAAACUUAUUGUAUAAAAAAUAAAUUUAACAAUUAUAAAAAUAGGCUAUAUUGACCCAUUGAAAAUAAGUAAUAUUCUCAAUGAUUAAUAAAUAAAAGCUACCUUAGGGAUAACAGGAUAAUUUUGUUUUAGAGACCCUAUCGAAAACAAAGUUUGUCACCUCUAUGUUGAAUUAAGAUAUCCUAAUAAUGCAGAAGUUAUUAAAGGUAGGUCUGUUCGACCUUUAAAAUCUU